GUUGGGAAAGGGAAGAGAUGUGGCAUAUGUACUAAGAUCAUCAGCAACUAUUUCUGCUUUUUUCUAUCCUAAAAGAAAUAGAGUGGAAACUCUCAUUGCACAGCACAGAACUGCUUCUUUGACCAGAGACAGACCAUAGAAGAACAAACAGCCUAUGAGCACAUUUACUGAAUUAUUGAACGAACGAAGGUAGGGAAAGAGAAGCCUGCAGCUCAGGGAUCAGCCAGGUGGCAGCAUACAGCAAUAAACUCACAGACACCAUCUGCAGACAUCCUUUGGCCAUUCAGUUCUCUCUAGCAAAAAUUUCCCCCACUCUAUCAUAUCAAACCCAGCCACAUCCUCUCCCCAGACUCUCAUGCUCUGAAUACUUUUAGUGCAAAGUCACCUAAGGUGGCAGCUGAACACUUAAGGCUGAAAUGCUGUGAUAUGUCAUUCAGAAUUGAUUAGAGUGGAUAGGUUUAAAAGUCCUGGGAGGGCUGGGAAAUUGCUCAGUAGUAGAACC
RNAcentral lists this long non-coding RNA (502 nucleotides) under Fukomys damarensis (Damara mole-rat). RNAcentral's name for it is "lncRNA (ENSFDAG00000023651.1)". Lineage: Eukaryota; Metazoa; Chordata; Mammalia; Rodentia; Bathyergidae. The record is from RNAcentral.